Molecule: ribosomal RNA, 440 nt
Filed under: uncultured Clostridia bacterium
Lineage: Bacteria; Bacillati; Bacillota; Clostridia
Description: bacterial SSU rRNA
Rfam family: Bacterial small subunit ribosomal RNA
Source: RNAcentral
CCUACGGGAGGCAGCAGUGGGGAAUCUUGCGCAAUGGGCGAAAGCCUGACGCAGCGACGCCGCGUGAGCGAUGAAGGCCUUCGGGUCGUAAAGCUCUGUCAGAGGGGACGAUAAUGACGGUACCCUCAGAGGAAGCCCCGGCUAACUACGUGCCAGCAGCCGCGGUAAGACGUAGGGGGCUAGCGUUGUCCGGAAUUACUGGGCGUAAAGGGCGUGUAGGCGGCCAGGAAAGUCAGUGGUGAAACACCUGGGCUCAACCCAGGUAUUGCCGUUGAAACUGUCUGGCUUGAGGAUAGAAGAGGAGUGUGGAAUUCCCGGUGUAGCGGUGAAAUGCGUAGAGAUCGGGAGGAACACCAGUGGCGAAGGCGGCACUCUGGUCUAUACCUGACGCUGAGGCGCGAAAGCUAGGGAAGCAAACAGGAUUAGAUACCCCGGUAGUC